This is a long non-coding RNA of Acanthochromis polyacanthus (spiny chromis), 440 nucleotides long. RefSeq lists it as uncharacterized. The record is from RefSeq and is a predicted model, not a curated record. NCBI's taxonomy places the organism in Eukaryota, Metazoa, Chordata, Actinopteri, Pomacentridae. The transcript has 4 exons.
AGAUCCUGCAGGUGUUGUCCACAGCGGAUCCGUCAAUCUCUGGAAGCUCAAAACCCGACAGAGAGGAGGCGGGCCAAGCUAAUAGAGUGAAAUCAGAGGUCAUUUCAACCACUAGAUAUUUCCAACAGCUGCCAGGUGGACAAGCAACAUGCGACAAAAAAGCAUCCAGUUACGACGACAACAACACGUCUUUUCACAGCUUCCUCUCCUGGGUAGCAAACGGAGUCGAGUGUUUCAGAGGUGCUGGACUUUAUAUUGCAGUGAAAACAAAAGGGAGCAGAAAAUGGCCAGAAGCUGUUCGGGGUUGAGAGGGUUAAUUAAUCUUGAAGUUAUCUGAGCACACAGGUGAGACUGUCAUAACUUCCACUGUUUAUUUUAGUCUGGUACUUUUACAUUCACGGGCCCUAAAACAAAACAGUUAGAAGGAAACUUGGUUUAAU